Molecule: ribosomal RNA, 775 nt
Filed under: uncultured bacterium
Lineage: Bacteria
Description: bacterial SSU rRNA
Rfam family: Bacterial small subunit ribosomal RNA
Source: RNAcentral
CAGCCGAACGAGUUCUCGUUGAUGAUCGGUGCUUGCACCGAGAUUCAACAUAGAACGAGUGGCGGACGGGUGAGUAACACGUGGGUAACCUGCCCUUAAGUGGGGGAUAACAUUUGGAAACAGAUGCUAAUACCGCAUAGAUCCAAGAACCGCAUGGUUCUUGGCUGAAAGAUGGCGUAAGCUAUCGCUUUUGGAUGGACCCGCGGCGUAUUAGCUAGUUGGUGAGGUAAUGGCUCACCAAGGCGAUGAUACGUAGCCGAACUGAAAGGUUGAUCGGCCACAUUGGGACUGAGACACGGCCCAAACUCCUACGGGAGGCAGCAGUAGGGAAUCUUCCACAAUGGACGCAAGUCUGAUGGAGCAACGCCGCGUGAGUGAAGAAGGCUUUCGGGUCGUAAAACUCUGUUGUUGGAGAAGAAUGGUCGGCAGAGUAACUGUUGUCGGCGUGACGGUAUCCAACCAGAAAGCCACGGCUAACUACGUGCCAGCAGCCGCGGUAAUACGUAGGUGGCAAGCGUUAUCCGGAUUUAUUGGGCGUAAAGCGAGCGCAGGCGGUUUUUUAAGUCUGAUGUGAAAGCCCUCGGCUUAACCGAGGAAGCGCAUCGGAAACUGGGAAACUUGAGUGCAGAAGAGGACAGUGGAACUCCAUGUGUAGCGGUGAAAUGCGUAGAUAUAUGGAAGAACACCAGUGGCGAAGGCGGCUGUCUGGUCUGUAACUGACGCUGAGGCUCGAAAGCAUGGGUAGCGAACAGGAUUAGGUACCCUGGUAGUCCAU